RNAcentral lists this ribosomal RNA (479 nucleotides) under uncultured bacterium. Its description in RNAcentral is "partial 16S ribosomal RNA". It matches the Rfam family "Bacterial small subunit ribosomal RNA", at positions 28 to 507 of the family's 1533-position model. The record is from RNAcentral.
GAUGAACGCUAGCGGGAGGCCUAACACAUGCAAGCCGAGCGGUAUUGUUUCUUCGGAAAUGAGAGAGCGGCGUACGGGUGCGUAACACGUGUGCAACCUGCCUUUAUCUGGGGGAUAGCCUUUCGAAAGGAAGAUUAAUACUCCAUAAUAUAUUGAACGGCAUCGUUUAAUAUUGAAAGCUCCGGCGGAUAGAGAUGGGCACGCGCAAGAUUAGCUAGUUGGUGAGGUAACGGCUCACCAAGGCGAUGAUCUUUAGGGGGCCUGAGAGGGUGAUCCCCCACACUGGUACUGAGACACGGACCAGACUCCUACGGGAGGCAGCAGUGAGGAAUAUUGGUCAAUGGGUGCAAGCCUGAACCAGCCAUCCCGCGUGAAGGACGACUGCCCUAUGGGUUGUAAACUUCUUUUGAAUAGGGAUAAACCUACCCUCGAGAGGGUAGCUGAAGGUACUAUACGAAUAAGCACCGGCUAACUCCGUG